GAGUUUCGGCGUCAACAGACCGACCUUGCCGCCUCGCGGGCCACCAUUAAUGCCAUGCGGGCCGACCUCGACGCCGUGCGGGCCGACCGUGAUGCCUCGAGAACUGAGCUGGACGCCGUCAAGCGUGAGCGCGACAUCCUAGCCGCCGACUUGUGCCGUGCCGCGGAGGAAGAGAUGACUCGGGCUGCCGCUGCGCAAGAAGCCUUUCUUCAGGACUUUGUUCCCGAGUACCAGAGCCGUUUGGCUGAUCUGAAAAAGGACCACGCC
RNAcentral lists this long non-coding RNA (267 nucleotides) under Zostera marina. Its description in RNAcentral is "long non-coding RNA (ZMAR_LNC004776)". Lineage: Eukaryota; Viridiplantae; Streptophyta; Magnoliopsida; Alismatales; Zosteraceae. The record is from RNAcentral.